Molecule: transfer RNA, 73 nt
Filed under: Elusimicrobia bacterium RIFOXYA2_FULL_39_19
Lineage: Bacteria; Pseudomonadati; Elusimicrobiota
Description: tRNA-OTHER
Source: RNAcentral
CGGGGCGUGGCUCAGUUGGCAGAGCACUCCGAUGGACAUCGGAGGGGUCGUAAAUUCAAUCCAAUCGCCCCUA